UUGAACGCUGGCGGCAUGCUUUACACAUGCAAGUCGAACGGUAACAGGCCGCAAGGUGCUGACGAGUGGCGAACGGGUGAGUAAUGCAUCGGAACGUGCCCAGUCGUGGGGGAUAACUACUCGAAAGAGUAGCUAAUACCGCAUACGAUCUAUGGAUGAAAGCGGGGGACCGUAAGGCCUCGCGCGAUUGGAGCGGCCGAUGUCAGAUUAGGUAGUUGGUGGGGUAAAGGCUCACCAAGCCAACGAUCUGUAGCUGGUCUGAGAGGACGACCAGCCACACUGGGACUGAGACACGGCCCAGACUCCUACGGGAGGCAGCAGUGGGGAAUUUUGGACAAAGGGCGCAAGCCUGAUCCAGCAAUGCCGCGUGCAGGAAGAAGGCCUUCGGGUUGUAAACUGCUUUUGUACGGAACGAAACGGCUCUGGUUAAUACCCGGGGCUAAUGGCGGUACCGUAAGAAUAAGCACCGGCUAACUACGUG
This 481-nucleotide ribosomal RNA is filed under the name uncultured bacterium. RNAcentral describes it as "partial 16S ribosomal RNA". It matches the Rfam family "Bacterial small subunit ribosomal RNA", at positions 30 to 507 of the family's 1533-position model. The record is from RNAcentral.